CUUCCUUGACAUGGAAAGUCCGAGCACGGAUUAUAGCUGAAAUCUCAAGUGCACUUUGCUUCUUGCACUCUUCUAAACCUGAAAAGAUUAUCCAUGGUGAUCUGAAACCACAAAAUAUCCUACUUGAUUCUGAACUUAGCUGCAAAAUAUGUGAGUUUGGAAUUUGCAGGCUGGUAACAGAUGAUACUCUUUCUUGCCCGAGUUUUCGUAGGGGCACUGAGCCAAAGGGUGCUUUUCCAUAUACGGAUCCAGAGUUCCGAAGAGAGGGGGUUCUGACAACCAAGUCUGAUAUUUAUUCCUUUGGGGUGAUCAUUCUACAGCUAAUCACUGGAAGGCCUCCUUUUGGGUUGGUAGGUGAGGUGCGUAGAACAAUGUCAUGCGGGAAAUUAGCCUCAAUUUUGGAUCCUUCUGCUGGAGAAUGGCCAACAUUUGUGGCAAAAAGAUUGGUUGACUUGGGUCUGCAGUUCUGUGAAUUGAGUGGCAGGAAAGAGACCUGAGUUGACACCUGCUCUCGUGAGAGAAUUGGAACAGUUGCAUGCUUCAGAAGAGCGACCAGUGCCAUCUUUCUUUUUGUGUCCCAUCCUUCAGGAAAUAAUGCAUGAUCCCCAGUUGGCAGCUGAUGGUUUCACAUAUGAAGGUGAAGCCAUACGUGGAUGGUUGGAAAAUGGCCGGGAAACAUCUCCAAUGACUAAUUUGAAGUUGAGUCACUUGCAUCUUAUUCCCAACCAUGGGCUGCGUCUUGCAAUUCAAGACUGGCUAUGCAAAUCUUAAAAUCCCAUUGAUUCAUGAAUGUAGUAUUUCGUGUUGUAAUCAUGUACAGAUGUGAAUUAUAUGCCGUCCCUGCUGCAUCUUUGUAAAUAAAAUGCAUAACAGAUAAGUGAUUUUUGUAACAUUUUGUACGAGGAUUUUUUAGACGAAGAAGUAAAUGACUAAAA
RNAcentral lists this unclassified non-coding RNA (935 nucleotides) under Hevea brasiliensis (rubber tree). Lineage: Eukaryota; Viridiplantae; Streptophyta; Magnoliopsida; Malpighiales; Euphorbiaceae. The record is from RNAcentral.